AUUUUUAUUAAAAUUGCAUUUUGCAUUCAGCGUGGAAAAUCAGCUUUGUGUGCCUUUGUUCCAAACUUACAAGUCCAGUCCAGUUUUUGUGUGCAGCAUUUUCGUUCGGUGGUGGAAAAUCGUUUUGCGAAGCUUAAUAUUUGCAAGUAAGUACUGUAUUUUACAAAUAAAAAUGAAGAGGAGUACUUUUUAUAAUAAGCUUACUGCAUCUUGUGAAUAUCCUAAAUACAUAGAUUUUAAUGGACUAAGUUCAAAUAAAUGUAAUAAAAGAAAGAAGUACAAUUAAAAAUCCUAAAUGUGUUUUAUUAAGACUAUAACAAACAGUCACAUGGGAGUAGAAAUGGUGGUGAAAUGCGGUCCUUAUAACCGUAAAAUGACGGUCAUAAAGCCUGUAAAAUGACGAUCAAUAAGCCUGAAAAAUGACGGUCGUUAUAACCGUAUAAAGGCGAUCAUUUCAACCGUAAAAUGAUGGUCAUUGUGCCCGUAAAAUGACGGUCAUUAUGCCUGUAAAACGACGGUCAUUAUGCCCGUAAAAUGGCGGUCAUAAAACCAGUAAAUCCCUUAAGAAAACAUUUGGUCAUUUGACUAGUAAAAACCAGAGUAGCUGUGACGGGUGUAAGCAGUGCAGCUAUACAUUUAGCUAAGCGCACAAGACAUGAGGGAGAGCGAGAUGUAAAGUCACACGUACGGGAACAUAAAGAAAGAAACGGUCACAAAAUCUACCGAUGCCCUCAAGAAUGUGAUGGGAAAAAUACGGAAAGUUUCAGUCAUGGCUCCAGGUAAUUUUACUAAUCAUUUGACCAGUAUCUUUCUUGCAGGGAU
Long non-coding RNA from Rhagoletis pomonella (apple maggot), 822 nucleotides. RefSeq lists it as uncharacterized. The record is from RefSeq and is a predicted model, not a curated record. Lineage: Eukaryota; Metazoa; Arthropoda; Insecta; Diptera; Tephritidae. The transcript has 2 exons.